UGUAUAUCUUGGAGAUUAAGCCUUUGUCAUUUUCAUUCUUUGCAACUAUUUCUCCCAUUCCAUAGGUUGUCUUUUCAUAUUUUUUAAAAUGGCUUCCUUUGCUGUGCAAAAGCUUCUAAGUUUGAUUAGGUUCCAUUGGUUUAUUUUUGUUUUUAUUGCUAUUGCCUUGGGAGACUGACCUAAGAAACAUUUGUACGGUUGAUGUCAGAGAAUGUUUUGCCUGUGUUCUCUUUGGGAGUUUUAUAGUGUCUUGUCUUAUGUUUAAGUCUUUAAGCCAUUUUGAGUUUAUUUUUGUGCAUGGUAUGAAGUGCUUAAUAUUUAAAAAUUUUCACUUUUACUAAAAUAAAUUACAUAGAGUGAAUGUUAUGUUUAGCAAAAGCUUUAUAGUUAAGUAUAUGUCAAGGUUUUCAAAAACUUGGCUUAACAUUUUUGGAUGUGCUAAUUCACAAGUACAGUUUGAAGUUCAAAAUAAAUGGAUGUUGGUUUUAAAGGCUUCCAUAGCUGAAGCUCUCCCAUGAGGCCAGGGAAAUCCACAUGGAAACAGAACUUCAGAGGCAGCACUCAAUAAAAAGUAAUAGUCAUUUUCCAGCCUUAUCCAUCACUUGUGCGAAGGCUUUGGUUGAAACUUCGUGUUCAUUUUCAACUUGGUUUUGCUUUUCUUGCCAAGUUAUUGGGAGGUACAGUCUUUUUAAAUAGCUUUUAACAUAUACGUCUUGUAAAAUUCUUUGGAAGAUGUAAAACAUAGAAAAUUUUGUUCUCAAGAUUUCAAAUACACAUAGGAAACUUUUAGUUGGCAAACACAGCGUUUGGGGGGAAAAAGUAAUAAGCAUGGAAACAUUUCCAAAAAUUUAUUUUGAAAAUGCUCUUUCCAUAGCAUGAAUUUCUUUCAAAUGUCGUUAGUACUUUCUUAUUCCUUGUCGCAGCAUCAUCUUUAACUUGAAGAAACAGAUCACGUGUGUUUGUAUUUGUGAAAACAGCCUCCAGGAAGCAGGCCAUUGAGUACGACUUAUUUUCACAGAAAAAGUGGGGAAAUUGGAAAUGACUGCCCUUUUUGUAGAAGGAAAAAAAACACAUAGUCAUCUUUUUGUUGUUGUUGUUGUUGUCUUUUUAGGGCCGCACCGCAGCUUAUGGAGGUGCCCAGGCUAGGCGUCAAAUUGGAGCUGUAGCUGCCGGCCUACACCACAGCUGCAGCAACACAGGAUCCGACCUGUGUCUGCCACCUACACCACAGCUCACAGCCACGCUGGAUCCUUAACCCACUGAACAAGGCCAGGGAUUGCACUUUCGUCCUCAUGGAUGCUAGUCAGAUUCGUUAACCACUGAGCCACAACGGGAGCUUCCACAUAGUCAUUUUUAAGUUUGGUUGCUCUACAUGCUUUGUCUCCUGUGGUAUAUGGAAUGACUGGCCAGUGGGGACCUGCUGUAUAGCACAGGGAACUCUACCCAAUAUUCGGGGAUAAUCUAUAUGGGAAAAGAAUAUGAAAAAAAAAGGAUGUGUGUAUAUGUAUAACCGAAUUACUGUGUUGUACAGCAGAAAUUAUCACAACAUUGUAAUCAACUUAUAUGUCAGUAAAACUUUAAAAAAUGAAAAAAAAAAUGCUUUGCCGCAAGAUAAACACCAGUCCUCUAAAGAGUAAAACUUUUCCAUGGUCAUUCCCCAUCUUAUUACAGAGAAGCGUAAAAAUUCUACUAAUUUUAAAAGUCCUGUUUUUAUAAAAUUAACCACACUCAUGAUGUUUGUUAGCAUUUUUGACAUUUUGGUCUUUUGUUUCUUUGCUGUAUUAACUUUUCUAGGACCAGUGCAGUGAAUCAGUUUCAUGUUCUGGCCUAUUUUUAUAACCUUACCCUGAAUUUAAAAUGCUAAUCAAAGCAGCUGUUACCUUACAUAAUUUCCCCAUAAAGCAUUAUUUUAACUAACGGAGUCAUUGCUUUUUGAAAAUACAUCUUUUUUUUUUCCUGGUACCUCUUUCCUUUAGUGACUCAUGAAUAAGUAGGUGUCUCAUUGCAUCGCUGAAACAGAACUAAGCAAAUACCCUUAUUUGGAACAUGUGAGAAACAGCAGUACUUUUCUCCAACCACACAGCAAACUGCCACAUGGCAUACUGUUUCUUGAAAACUUCAGCAACGUUUCAUGCGAUUCCAGCAGGCAUUUUAUUUUGGAGCUAUAUUGUUCUCCAUGUAUUAUUUUAGCUAUUUUUUACCACAUCAGGAAGAAUCUUUGUUUUCCUGGUGGCAUGUGACUUUUUGCCUUAAGCAAUUAAGAAAAAAAAAAAAUUCCAAACAGGCUCUUAAAAUAUUCAGUUUAGCAAAAUUCUGGACUAGAUUUAGUAUUGAAUAAUUAUUAACAUGGCUGAAACAUUUAGCGCUACUUAUAUUCAUGUGGUGGAUAUUUAGAUUUUAAAUAUCUUAAUAAUGAUCAUGGCUUUGAUACCAUCAUUAAGGAUUAUCUCAAGGCACAGUCUAUACUUACAGUGAGAUUCUCCCUUAAUAAUAGAGGCUGGAAAUGUGUAUU
This 2512-nucleotide long non-coding RNA is filed under the name Sus scrofa (pig). RNAcentral's name for it is "lncRNA (ENSSSCG00015069109.1)". The record is from RNAcentral. Lineage: Eukaryota; Metazoa; Chordata; Mammalia; Artiodactyla; Suidae.